CCAGACUCCUACGGGAGGCAGCAGUGGGGAAUAUUGGGCAAUGGAGGAAACUCUGACCCAGCAACGCCGCGUGAAGGAUGAAGGUUUUCGGAUUGUAAACUUCUGUCGCGAGGGAUGAAGAAUGACGGUACCUCGUAAGAAAGCCCCGGCAAACUACGUGCCAGCAGCCGCGGUAAUACGUAGGGGGCGAGCGUUGUCCGGAAUGACUGGGCGUAAAGGGAGUGUAGGCGGCAUAUUAAGUUAUGUGUGAAAGCCCGCGGCUCAACCGCGGAAUUGCACAUAAAACUGGUAAGCUGGAGUGCAGGAGAGGUAAGUGGAAUUCCCGGUGUAGCGGUGGAAUGCGUAGAUAUCGGGAGGAACACCAGAGGCGAAGGCGACUUACUGGACUGUAACUGACGCUGAGGCUCGAAAGCGUGGGGAGCAAACAGGAUUAGAUACCCCUGUA
RNAcentral lists this ribosomal RNA (445 nucleotides) under uncultured bacterium. Its description in RNAcentral is "bacterial SSU rRNA". It matches the Rfam family "Bacterial small subunit ribosomal RNA", at positions 331 to 792 of the family's 1533-position model. The record is from RNAcentral.